CUUUCUCCUGUUUCAAAAGUGGCUGAGUGAGUAACUGCUAGUUGAGACAGCUACGCUGAACUUCUUUAAUAUUUGGUCAUAGGUAACUAAGGUAAACUACUAAACUUCAAUUCUGAGUUCUGAACUUUAGGGUAGGCUAUAGCCUACCCUAGCCUUAUGCUAGCUACGCCCUUG
This is a long non-coding RNA of Amphimedon queenslandica, 174 nucleotides long. RefSeq lists it as uncharacterized. Lineage: Eukaryota; Metazoa; Porifera; Demospongiae; Haplosclerida; Niphatidae. The record is from RefSeq and is a predicted model, not a curated record. The transcript has 2 exons.